GGGGACCUUCGGGGCCCUAUCAAUCGCGGCGCGUAAAGUGCUGCAUCUAUAACGGAAGACAGAAA
This 65-nucleotide non-coding RNA is filed under the name unclassified sequences. The record is from Rfam.